GAUGACAUGGAGAAGUUUGCAACAUACACAAACCAAGGGUUCCUAGUGGGGAAAUGGCCUGUUGAGAGGCAUUAGGUUGUAGUCUUGGUUGAUCAAAUUUAAACACCUGGGUUGAUACAGAAUUCUGAUUUUCUAGGCCUUGAUAUUUGCUACAAGCAAGUAUUUCUGCAUAACUUGGGGCACGUUUUCCUCAUGGUUACCUGACCAGUCCGUUCACUGUGAACAUUGCCUACUGUGUCCACCUAUCAUGAAGAAGACCUGAAAUUCCACUGUGAGGACUCUAGCAUCACAGGAUACAAGGAGCCUAAAAUUCCCAUCAUGUAGAGGAGAAGACUGAAUGAUAUUUAAGGAGUCCCUCCAAGGCUGCCUGCCCAGUAACUGCCAGAACCAGGACCAGAAUCCAUGAGGACCCUGAUUCAGGGUUCAGACUCCCCAGUUUCAGACGUCAUGGAGUGCAAUGCCCAGUGGACUCAUCAGGCAGAGAAGGAUAAAAUUUGUUGCCAGAAAAGCAAGUGCAUCUCGCAGGUGGCUUCAGCCCAGGCAUCUCUUUUCUGGCUCACAGAGGUAAAUCCCAAAUGGUGAUAGAACUGUAAUUUUGCUCAAUGUCUUCUUCUCUGGUUUUUUUCCCCCUCCCUCUCUACUAAUUUGGGGUUUUUGUUGUUCUUCAUUUACUCCAGACAAGUGAUUCUACAUUGGUGGCAGCAACGACUAGUACUUUGCCUGACUAUUUUG
RNAcentral lists this long non-coding RNA (732 nucleotides) under Papio anubis (olive baboon). RNAcentral's name for it is "lncRNA (ENSPANG00000044407.1)". The record is from RNAcentral. Lineage: Eukaryota; Metazoa; Chordata; Mammalia; Primates; Cercopithecidae.